UGGGCCGGUAACGUGGCUCACGUCAAGCGCUCCGAUCGCUUGGCCGGGCCCGGGGAGUUCGCACCUCCGCCGGGCCGUCC
RNAcentral lists this transfer RNA (80 nucleotides) under Streptomonospora litoralis. RNAcentral describes it as "Streptomonospora sp. M2 tRNA-Arg". The record is from RNAcentral. Lineage: Bacteria; Bacillati; Actinomycetota; Actinomycetes; Streptosporangiales; Nocardiopsidaceae.